This 158-nucleotide ribosomal RNA is filed under the name Helotiales sp. Its description in RNAcentral is "partial large subunit ribosomal RNA". It matches the Rfam family "Eukaryotic large subunit ribosomal RNA", at positions 99 to 261 of the family's 3401-position model. Lineage: Eukaryota; Fungi; Ascomycota; Leotiomycetes; Helotiales. The record is from RNAcentral.
CGGUAACAGCUCAAAUUUGAAAUCUGCCGCAAGGCCGAGUUGUAAUUUGUAGAAGAUGCUUUGGGUAUGGCCCCGGUCUAAGUUCGUUGGAACACGACGUCAUAGAGGGUGAGAGCCCCGUCUGGUUGGAUACCGAUCCUCUGUAAAGCUCCUUCGAC